Hordeum vulgare subsp. vulgare (domesticated barley) is the source of this 1205-nucleotide RNA transcript. It is a transcript of the gene named serotonin N-acetyltransferase 1, chloroplastic, with no coding region annotated. The record is from RefSeq and is a predicted model, not a curated record. NCBI's taxonomy places the organism in Eukaryota, Viridiplantae, Streptophyta, Magnoliopsida, Poales, Poaceae. The transcript is spliced from 8 exons.
CUCGCCUGACCUUAUCCACCGCCCCGACGCCACGACUGGCCGCGAGCGACGCAGGACGCCGCAUACAGCGCGCGCGAGCCCCCACCCCCUUCCCCUUCCCCUCCCUCACCCCGCCCGCCCCUCUUCCCCCCGGAAGCGCGCGAGCUGCUGCCGGAAUCAGCAGGCCGCGAAGAUGGUGGCCGCCUUCGCCGUCACUCCUUCCUCCUCCAUAUGCGGCGUUUGUAUCCCGACGGCGUGCCGUUCGGAGGCGCGGGGCAUAGUGCCGGCGGCGAGGUUCCUCCGUAACCGGAGCCAAGCGAACAGACGGUCUGCAGUAGCUUGGUCUUUGAAGGCGGGUCUAUGGGACUCUCUCAAAUCUGGGUUUUUAAAAACUAGUAAUAGUACAGAGACAGUAGAGCCACCAACUACACCACUUGAAGAAGAAGAACUUGUACCUGAGGAAUUAGUGCUCCUAGAAAGGACACUCCCUGAUGGUAGCACAGAACAGAUCUUAUUUUCUUCAGCUGGUGAUAUUGAUAUAUAUGAUCUCCAGGCCUUAUGUGACAAGGUUGGAUGGCCACGUAGACCUCUAACGAAAAUAGCAGCAUCCUUAAGAAACAGCUACUUGGUCGCUACACUACAUUCAAUAAUCAGGUCUUCAGAAACAGAGGGAGAAGAGAAGAAGCAACUGAUUGGUAUGGCGCGGGCAACUUCAGACCAUGCGUUCAAUGCUACAAUCUGGGACGUCCUCGUUGAUCCUUCCUAUCAGAAGUUAAUCAUUCCAGGGUCAAGGUCUUGGUAAAACACUCAUGGAGAAAGUGAUCCGUACUUUGCUCCAGAGGGACAUCAGCAACAUCACGCUAUUUGCAGAUAGUAAAGUGGUGGACUUCUACAAGAACAUGGGGUUCGAAGCUGACCCCCAGGGCAUCAAGGGCAUGUUCUGGUACCCCAGAGUUUAGCUCCGGUGGAGCGGCGUUCGACGACCGGCACAGUUUGCGCCAGUGCAGAAGAAUAUUGCCAGGAGCUGAGCUUUGUAUAACAGUGACUCGAGUGGCCGAUGGGCCGGAUGCCAUGCCGUUUGCAGCAUCUGGUUGGUCUGUAUGUAACUGCUACUAGUAGUAGUAGAAAAGUAAAGCACCCCUGUUUUCGUACGUACUGCGAAGGAGACGGCCACAGCGAACGUUAUUAUACUGUGGAGGAAGCCAGGAAAUUGUUCUUCCAAUCAA